RNAcentral lists this ribosomal RNA (301 nucleotides) under uncultured bacterium. RNAcentral describes it as "partial 16S ribosomal RNA". It matches the Rfam family "Bacterial small subunit ribosomal RNA", at positions 509 to 810 of the family's 1533-position model. The record is from RNAcentral.
CAGUAGCCGCGGUAAUACGUAGGUCCCGAGCGUUGUCCGGAUUUAUUGGGCGUAAAGCGAGCGCAGGCGGUUUGAUAAGUCUGAAGUUAAAGGCUGUGGCUCAACCAUAGUUCGCUUUGGAAACUGUCAAACUUGAGUGCAGAAGGGGAGAGUGGAAUUCCAUGUGUAGCGGUGAAAUGCGUAGAUAUAUGGAGGAACACCGGUGGCGAAAGCGGCUCUCUGGUCUGUAACUGACGCUGAGGCUCGAAAGCGUGGGGAGCGAACAGGAUUAGAUACCCGGGUAGUCCCUGUCUCUUAUACU